This 1369-nucleotide long non-coding RNA is filed under the name Olea europaea (common olive). RNAcentral's name for it is "long non-coding RNA (OEUR_LNC011967)". Lineage: Eukaryota; Viridiplantae; Streptophyta; Magnoliopsida; Lamiales; Oleaceae. The record is from RNAcentral.
UAUAUUAAAACUAAGACUUCAGUCUAAUCACCCAUAAAACAUAUUCAAUAGAUACAGUAUCAUUCCUGGAGUAUAUUUUGAUGGUUAAACAUAAAAUCUUGUGAACACACAAAACAGAUAGAAUAUGUAGACUCCCAGUGUGUUACACGGACCACAUGUUUGGUACACAAUCCUGUAUCAAGCAUGUCGUAAAAGUGCAAACUAAUGAAUGAAUGCAUUAAGCAAGAACUGCUCAAUAUGUGAAAACCGAUAAAUUAAAUAAUAUGAGAUAAACUGCUUUCAUGCCAUCACGUCAUAAAAAGCUACUGCUUCGAUUCCUGUUGAGUAGACGUACUGUCAUUCUGUUGCUGAGGCCGAGGCUGCGGCUGAGACUGUUGCUGCAUGUUCUGUCGAGUCGCCUCCUGCUGGCAUAACUGGAACUGCUGGGGGUUAAUCGAAAGCUGUUGAAACUUGGAACGAUCUCCGCUCAGUUCAGCAGAAGCAGGCUUCAAGCGUUUCACCUCAGCUGUUAAUGCUUCAUUAAGUGCUGUCACAAGAAAACCAAAUUAAGUAAAGAAAGCCCAUAAAUAAUAUCAUAAUCACAUUUAACACCAUUUACCAUUCACGAAUAAAUAAGUGACCUUUUCAGAUUAAUUAGAUCGUUCUCCUGAGAAGAUUGAUCUGAAAUGCCAAAUCUAACAACGAAGGACCGUACUAAUAACCAGAUCAUUUUCACGAGAUACUUCAAACAUAGAUUCUUUCUAAUACCUUAUAAAAGCCCUAUCGCCAUGGAUUAAAUAACAUCAACCCUAACAGUCCCUUCACGUAUCCCACUGAAAAGGCAACAGUUUUACUAUAGCAUAGCUUAGAAAAGGUUUGACUCAGUAACUCACAGAUUCUUGAACUUCUCAUUUUAAUUGUUUUUAAUUUCCUGAAAAUUUCCAAGAGGAGAAGGCACUGUCAACAGCUAAUGGGACCUACUAGAUACUCUAGAGAUGUAUCUGGUACAUAAACGGCUUCUUAUUGCAUUAUACCAACUAUUUUUCACAUCUUGCUUUUCUCAGGGAUGGAAUUUAUGCUAGUUAAUGUGUGAAAGAAAGUCCUGCAGUCAAAUGUUACAAGAAUGAUACAAGUGAAAUGUCAUUCAGGACAGACCCUCAUCGAAACUAACAGAGACACAAUCCUUCCAAGUUGCGGUACCAGACGUCCAAACAAGAAGCAGUGAAUUACCUAAUUCAAGUGCAUGCCAGCAUCAAAGAGUAGACUACAAUUGCCCAAUUUUUUUUUCAUGGAAUGCAAAAACCAACCAAGCAGUACGGUAUUUGCACUAGAACCGCCAUAAUUAUGCAUGGGAUCAUAAGAGAGGAAUGAUGACAAUGAUUAAGAUACU